Molecule: ribosomal RNA, 450 nt
Filed under: Streptomyces sp.
Lineage: Bacteria; Bacillati; Actinomycetota; Actinomycetes; Kitasatosporales; Streptomycetaceae
Description: bacterial SSU rRNA
Rfam family: Bacterial small subunit ribosomal RNA
Source: RNAcentral
AUGGGAGCUUGCUCCCUGAUGUUAGCGGCGGACGGGUGAGUAACACGUGGGUAACCUGCCUGUAAGACUGGGAUAACUCCGGGAAACCGGGGCUAAUACCGGAUGGUUGUCUGAACCGCAUGGUUCAGACAUAAAAGGUGGCUUCGGCUACCACUUACAGAUGGACCCGCGGCGCAUUAGCUAGUUGGUGAGGUAACGGCUCACCAAGGCGACGAUGCGUAGCCGACCUGAGAGGGUGAUCGGCCACACUGGGACUGAGACACGGCCCAGACUCCUACGGGAGGCAGCAGUAGGGAAUCUUCCGCAAUGGACGAAAGUCUGACGGAGCAACGCCGCGUGAGUGAUGAAGGUUUUCGGAUCGUAAAGCUCUGUUGUUAGGGAAGAACAAGUGCCGUUCAAAUAGGGCGGCACCUUGACGGUACCUAACCAGAAAGCCACGGCUAACUACGU